UCGGGUUUACAACUAUGCUCAAUUUACACCAGCUAGCCUGCACCCUCACCGUUGCUUCACAACCAUACUUGGGCGUCCAUCAUAUGUCUGAGCUGUGCUUUAAUUAUUAUUUUUUUCAGUUCAAGUGUAUCUUUCUUGCUUGGCUUGAUUAGUAUCUACUUCAUUACUGAAUGCUUUUUUUACAGGGUUGCGUCGCCACAGGGGACUUGUGCGCUUGUAGGCGUUUGGUGAGGGGCGUCACCAAUCACCAUGAGCCCCGAGCCCAGCGUGGGUUCAGACCCCCUGCAUGCCUGGCAGUGCUAGGUCUCAAUUGGGGUCUUGGCAGUUGAGCUAAUCCCGGCCAAGGUUUCCUUCAAGGGCCCCCCGGGUUAGGCAACACACCACCCGAGCCCCACCUUUGCAGAGACAGGUGUCCUGUGUUAGUUCGCCGAGGACGAUUCGUCGCUGGUUGAUGUCGUCCCGUGGUAAUUUCUGGCCUUUCGAACGAUCCAGUCACAAUUCCAGCACCGCCGCGCCUCACAAGAGCGAAGAAAGCAUGCGCAGGAGUACACCAUGGUCAUCGAGGCAGAGGUACAUGCUUCCUCAUGCUCAGAAGCUUGUGGCAAUCUGGGGAUUCUACUUGAUUUUGUUAGCUGAACUCAGCGCUGGAAGAUCAUUAUUGGAUUUGUCCUCCCAAAAAGUGUGUGAAACAGAAGCCUGCAAAAAAAGAG
Ixodes scapularis (black-legged tick) is the source of this 710-nucleotide long non-coding RNA. RefSeq lists it as uncharacterized. The record is from RefSeq and is a predicted model, not a curated record. The transcript has 4 exons. Lineage: Eukaryota; Metazoa; Arthropoda; Arachnida; Ixodida; Ixodidae.